UAGAUGCGAGAGUAGAGCAUAUCAAUAAGCGGAGGAAAAGAAACUAACAAGGAUUCCCUUAGUAACGGCGAGUGAAGCGGGAAGAGCUCAAAUUUGAAAUCUUCAAGGUUCUACCUUGACGAAUUGUAGUUUAUAGAAGUGUUUUCUGUUAGUGGAGUGGCAAAAGUUCUUUGGAAUAGGACAUCAUAGAGGGUGAGAAUCCCGUAUUUGGUCAUUCCUCCUAGCGUUGUGAUACACUUUCAACGAGUCGGAUUGUUUGGGAAUGCAGUCCAAAAUGGGUGGUAAAUUUCUCCUAAAGCUAAAUAUUGGCGAGAGACCGAUAGCGAACAAGUACCGUGAGGGAAAGAUGAAAAGAACUUUGAAAAGAGAGUUAAACAGUACGUGAAAUUGUCAAAAGGGAAGCGUUUGACACCAGUGUUGUUUUUCCGAAAAUCAAUUACGAAUGUUUUAGUUUUUGAGGAGUUAUGACUUCAUCGGCUUGCUCCCUUUCUUUAUGAAACUUUCUUAAUGCACUUUUCGGUUAACAAGUCAACAUCAAUUUCUUUUGUUGUAAAAGGGUAUGAGGGAAGGUGGCUUUCUUUUCGGAGAAAGUGUUUAUAGCCUUGUACCUCUGCAAUCGGAGAGAUUGAGGUCUGCAGCGUAGAUCCUUCGGGGUUAGAUACAUUUGUGCUAAGUUAUAGCUUUUCAUAGACAACUUGUUGACUAUGUUUAGUCUUGUAGCUUACUCGCUUACGCUAUUUUACCUACGCUUAGGAUGUUGACACACGCGCGUGCUCG
Molecule: ribosomal RNA, 777 nt
Filed under: uncultured Neocallimastigales
Lineage: Eukaryota; Fungi; Neocallimastigomycota; Neocallimastigomycetes; Neocallimastigales
Description: partial large subunit ribosomal RNA
Rfam family: Eukaryotic large subunit ribosomal RNA
Source: RNAcentral